UUGAAGCACCGAUUCCCGUACGAUCACAGAGGUUAAGCAAUGUUGAGUCAGGCGAGUACCUGGGUGACUGCUUGGGAGUACCAUGAGUUGCCAG
Acanthosepion pharaonis is the source of this 94-nucleotide non-coding RNA. NCBI's taxonomy places the organism in Eukaryota, Metazoa, Mollusca, Cephalopoda, Sepiida, Sepiidae. The record is from the annotation of a GenBank genome assembly.